UCCAAACGCGUUGGCGCGGGCUGGGGUAAACCGGAGAGUGCAGCGUGUAAGGGGAAUUAUGUGGCCGAAAGGGCGCGUAGGCGGCUAUAUAAGUCAGAUUUGAAAUGCCGAAGCUCAACUUCGGAGCUGCAUUUGAAACUAUAAAUCUCGAGGAUUGACGGAGAAAACGGAAUUCCACGUUGAGCGGUGAAAUGCGUAGUUAUGUGGAAGAACACCUGUGGCGAAAGCGGUUAUCUAGUUUAGACCUGCCGCUGAGGCGCGAGAGCAAGGGGAGCAAACAGGAUUAGAUCCCUGGUAGUC
RNAcentral lists this ribosomal RNA (300 nucleotides) under uncultured Novosphingobium sp. RNAcentral's name for it is "bacterial SSU rRNA". The stretch from base 53 to 300 matches the Rfam family "Bacterial small subunit ribosomal RNA", at positions 547 to 795 of the family's 1533-position model. The record is from RNAcentral. Lineage: Bacteria; Pseudomonadati; Pseudomonadota; Alphaproteobacteria; Sphingomonadales; Sphingomonadaceae.